GGGGUUCGUGUUUUGGUGAUUUGGCUCCGAUCAACCUGUAGAGAAAAUAAUGGUGAUCACGGUGAUAUAAAAAUUGUAUCAAACGGAGGCCGAAAAGGGCCUCAUCGGAGGCAAAAAUCGAGGAGGGGUGCGGCGGCGCCGCUGGGUUUCGGCCGUUUGGCCGGGAUUUUGGCUCCGAUUUGGCCACAGGAGAACUCAGCAUUGAAAAAUGAGCCGGGGAUAUGAAAUUUACCUCGAUCGGCGGUCGGAAAACUCCC
This 257-nucleotide long non-coding RNA is filed under the name Carica papaya (papaya). RNAcentral describes it as "long non-coding RNA (CPAP_LNC001054)". The record is from RNAcentral. Lineage: Eukaryota; Viridiplantae; Streptophyta; Magnoliopsida; Brassicales; Caricaceae.